GGGGUCGAUUUUGGAUUCGACGGGAUUCUCGAAACCCAAGGUGCAUGCCGAGGAGCGGUUGGCCUCGUAAAAAAGCCGCAUUUUAAAGUAAUCGCAAACGACGAUUCUUACGCACUCGCUGCCUAAUAAGCAGUAAGAGAGCCUGUCACCAAAGGCCCCGCCUACUGGCCUAGGAUCCUGACAGUCAACCCUCGUAGGAUCGCGUGGAGUCUUCGCCAGUAGACGAAGCGUUAAAACCAAUCUGGCUCGCCCUAACAUAGCCUGCCACUCGGCGCUGCUAAGGGUUAAUUAAAUGAGUGUGCUAAGCAUGUAGUACCAAGGAUGUAGGUUUUUCGGACGGGGGUUCAACUCCCCCCGACUCCACCA
Molecule: transfer-messenger RNA, 366 nt
Filed under: Ferrimonas aestuarii
Lineage: Bacteria; Pseudomonadati; Pseudomonadota; Gammaproteobacteria; Alteromonadales; Ferrimonadaceae
Description: Standard tmRNA
Rfam family: transfer-messenger RNA
About the family: Bacterial tmRNA, also known as 10Sa RNA or SsrA, is named for its dual tRNA and mRNA-like properties. Its role is to liberate the mRNA from a stalled ribosome.
Source: Rfam by way of RNAcentral